Molecule: long non-coding RNA, 989 nt
Organism: Pristis pectinata (smalltooth sawfish)
Lineage: Eukaryota; Metazoa; Chordata; Chondrichthyes; Rhinopristiformes; Pristidae
Exons: 3
Source: RefSeq, a predicted model, not a curated record
GGACUGCCACAGAGAACUCUCACUGUACAGAGAGUUACAUUUACCUACUUUCCCACUUGAAGCCAUCUCUCCCAAUUAUGUGACUGACGGCUCCUAUCCAACUCCUCGGAAGAAAAUCAACAUUUCCUAGUGGCAUAUUUUUGAAGAGGCUUUCUCAAAGUACCUGUUGUCUACCUCUUGAACCCCCUGCAGAGCAAAGAGGGGCAGAGAUCACAGGGGAAGAUGAAGAGCUAAAAGGCAAGUGUUUUUUUGAAAAUGUUUUCACUUAAUGGUACCUUCUGACUGCUGGGUGCUUUCUAUCACAACAUUCAGGAGGCUUCACUUUCCUACCAUUGUACUGGUGCUGCAGUGAGCCAGCACAGCCCUGCACCUGGAGAAGAUCGAAAGUCCCUGACCAUUGCUGGGAUAAAAUCUACAGGCCUGCAGUUAUUAAAGAUAUCCAUGAUCAAAUGGGCUGAAUUCAAAAGCGGAAAAGGAAAAGGCGGAGCCAGGUAUCUUCCAUGUGCAGAUGCCGUGCCAAAGGAUAGAAGACACUGGACACACACAGUGGCAUCCAACACUUGUGCCUGGACAUCGUUUUAAUUUUCAUUCACAGGCUACUCACGUAGAGAAAGGCUUUCACAGUGGUACAAGGCCUGCUUCUUAGUAGGUCCCAGCCUGGUACAGGGAGUUGAUUAAGGACACGUCAUCUUUAAGCUAACCUUCAGGCACACUGCUCAGUGUGUGCUCAAGCUCACAACGAUCUCCACCCAGCUAAUAUGGCAUCCAUACCCCAAGCUGUAUGGAUGGUUAUUGUACAGCCAGAAGACUGUCCUGAAUUGGACAAGCAUAUGGUGGAUCAUAUCCUCCAGGGUCUCCUUUUAAGUUGAAAAUUUGAUCAAGGAAGAAGAGUUCAGCCAGCCUGAAGAAAAGACAUGACCUCAUCACACCAGCAGCUCCAGUGCUUAUUAGACACAACAACUGUGUCAACUUCUGUUACAUUCAGGACU